UAUCAUGGUGAUGAGUUUAGAUCAGAAAAUGAGUUUUUGUGAAGGAUUGAUGAUGAUGAUGAUGAAGGGUUUAGAUUGAAUUUGAAAAUGAGUUUUAUUUUUUUCUCUCCAUUUUCUAUUUCCAUGCUUAAGAAUCAAUUUGUUUUCUUCCAAUUUCAAUUUCAAGGUUCGAUUUUUUUUCUUCAGUUUUUUGUUUUGCUGGGUUUUUUUCAUGAAGGUUGAUGAGGAAGAAGAUGAAGAAGUUGAAUGAAGGUGAUGACUUGUA
RNAcentral lists this long non-coding RNA (265 nucleotides) under Medicago truncatula (barrel medic). RNAcentral describes it as "long non-coding RNA (MTRU_LNC004239)". The record is from RNAcentral. Lineage: Eukaryota; Viridiplantae; Streptophyta; Magnoliopsida; Fabales; Fabaceae.